GACGAACGCUGGCGGCGUGCUUAACACAUGCAAGUCGAACGGUGAACGAGGGAGCUUGCUCCCUCCGCAUCAGUGGCGAACGGGUGAGUAACACGUGAGCAAUCUGCCUCGAACUCUGGGAUAAGCGUUGGAAACGACGUCUAAUACCGGAUACGACGCUGGAGCGCAUCCUCUCCGCGUGGAAAGAACUUCGGUUCGGGAUGAGCUCGCGGCCUAUCCGCUUGUUGGUGAGGUAUCGGCUCACCACGGCGCCGACGGGUAGCCGGCCUGGGAGGGUGACCGGCCACACUGGGACUGAGAGACGGCGCAGAAUGCUACGGGAGGCAGCAGGGGGGAAUAUUGCACAAUGGGCGCAAGCCUGAUGCAGCAACGCCGCGAGAGGGACGACGGCCUUCGGGUUGUAAACCUCUUUUAGCAGGGAAGAAGCGAAAGUGACGGUACCUGCAGAAAAAGCACCGGCUAACUACGUG
RNAcentral lists this ribosomal RNA (470 nucleotides) under uncultured bacterium. RNAcentral's name for it is "partial 16S ribosomal RNA". It matches the Rfam family "Bacterial small subunit ribosomal RNA", at positions 28 to 507 of the family's 1533-position model. The record is from RNAcentral.